Molecule: ribosomal RNA, 804 nt
Filed under: Amanita sp. 'rooseveltensis'
Lineage: Eukaryota; Fungi; Basidiomycota; Agaricomycetes; Agaricales; Amanitaceae
Description: partial 28S ribosomal RNA
Rfam family: Eukaryotic large subunit ribosomal RNA
Source: RNAcentral
UUUGACCUCAAAUCAGGUAGGAUUACCCGCUGAACUUAAGCAUAUCAAUAAGCGGAGGAAAAGAAACUAACAAGGAUUCCCCUAGUAACUGCGAGUGAAGCGGGAAAAGCUCAAAUUUAAAAUCUGGCAGUCUCUCUUUUUUUCUUUGGCUGUCCGAGUUGUAAUCUAGAGAAGUGCUUACCCGUGCUGGACCAUGUAUAAGUCUCCUGGAAUGGAGCGUCAUAGAGGGUGAGAAUCCCGUCUUUGACAUGGACUUGCCAGUGCAUAGUGGUGUGCUCUCAAAGAGUCGAGUUGUUUGGGAAUGCAGCUCUAAAUGGGUGGUAAACUCCAUCUAAAGCUAAAUAUUGGCGAGAGACCGAUAGCGAACAAGUACCGUGAGGGAAAGAUGAAAAGGACUUUGGAAAGAGAGUUAAACAGUAUGUGAAAUUGUUGAAAGGGAAACACUUGAAGUCAGUCGUGUCUGCUUAGGGAUCAACUCAGCUCAUUUUGCUGGGUGAACUUCCUAGUGUGACAGGCCAACAUCAGUUCUGACUGUUGGAAAAGAGCAGAGGGAAUGUGGCACCUUUGGGUGUGUUAUAGCCUUUUGUCAUAUAUAGCAGUCGGGACUGAGGAAUUGCAGCGCGCCGCAAGGCAVGGUCUUUGACCACGUUCGCGCUUARGAUGUUGGCGUUUAAUGGCUUCAAUUGACCCGUCUUGAAACACGGACCAAGGAGUCUAACAUGCCUGCGAGUGUUUGGGUGAAGAAACCCUUGUGCACAAUUAAAGUGAAAGUUGAGAUCCCUGUCGUGGGGAGCAUCGACGCCC